AUUCCCCUAGUAACUGCGAGUGAAGCGGGAAAAGCUCAAAUUUAAAAUCUGGUGGCCUUUGUCCAUCCGAGUUGUAAUUUAGAGAAGCGUCUUCCGCGCUGGACCGUGCACAAGUCUCCUGGAACGGAGCGUCAUAGAGGGUGAGAAUCCCGUCUUUGGCACGGACACACCAGGGCUUUGUGAUGCGCUCUCAAAGAGUCGAGUUGUUUGGGAAUGCAGCUCAAAAUGGGUGGUGAACUCCAUCUAAAGCUAAAUAUUGGCGAGAGACCGAUAGCGAACAAGUACCGUGAGGGAAAGAUGAAAAGCACUUUGGAAAGAGAGUGAAACAGUACGUGAAAUUGUUGAAAGGGAAACGCUUGAAGUCAGUCGCGUCGCCCGAGACUCAGCCUUGCCUCGGCUUGGUGUACUUCUCGGCUGACGGGUCAGCAUCAAUUUUGCCCCUUGGAUAAUGGCGAGGGAAAUGUGACACCUUUACGGGUGUGUUAUAGUCUCUCGUCGCAUGCAAGGGUCGGGAUUGAGGAACUCAGCACGCGCCCUCGGGCGUCGGGGCAUCUGCCCACGAUACGUGCUUAGGAUGUUGGCGUAAUGGCUUUAAACGACCCGUCUUGAAACACGGACCAAGGAGUCUAACAUGCCCGCGAGUGUUCGGGUGGAAAACCCGUGCGCGCAAUGAAAGUGAAAGUUGGGACCUCUGUCGUGGAGGGCACCGACGCCCGGACCAGACCUUCUGUGACGGAUCUGCGGUAGAGCGUGUAUGUUAGGACCCGAAAGAUGGUGAACUAUGCCUGAAUAGGGUGAAGCCAGAGGAAACUCUGGUGGAGGCUCGUAGCGAUUCUGACGUGCAAAUCGAUCGUCAAAUUUGGGUAUAGGGGCGAAAGAC
This 880-nucleotide ribosomal RNA is filed under the name Russula gracillima. Its description in RNAcentral is "eukaryotic LSU rRNA". It matches the Rfam family "Eukaryotic large subunit ribosomal RNA", at positions 74 to 931 of the family's 3401-position model. The record is from RNAcentral. Lineage: Eukaryota; Fungi; Basidiomycota; Agaricomycetes; Russulales; Russulaceae.